GACGAACGCUGGCGGCGUGCUUAACACAUGCAAGUCGAACGGAAAGGCCCUGCUUUUGUGGGGUUCUCGAUUGGCGAACGGGUGAGUAACACGUGAGUAACCUGCCCUUGACUUUGUGAUAACUUUAGGAAACUGGGGCUAAUACCGGAUAGGAGCUCCUGCUGCAUGUUGUUGUUUGGUAAGUUUCGGCGGUGGUGGAUGGACUCGCGGCUUAUCAGCUUGUUGGUGGGGUAGUGGCUUACCAAGGCUUUGACGGGUAGCCGGCAUGAGAGGGUGACCGGCCACAUUGGGACUGAGAUACGGCCCAGACUCCUACGGGAGGCAGCAGUGGGGAAUAUUGCACAAUGGGCGGAAGCCUGAUGCAGCAACGCCGCGUGCGGGAUGACGGCCUUCUGGUUAUAAACCGCUUUCGCCUGUGACGAAGCGUGAGUGACGGUAAUGGGUAAAGAAGCACCGGCUAACUACGUG
This 468-nucleotide ribosomal RNA is filed under the name uncultured bacterium. Its description in RNAcentral is "partial 16S ribosomal RNA". It matches the Rfam family "Bacterial small subunit ribosomal RNA", at positions 28 to 507 of the family's 1533-position model. The record is from RNAcentral.